UAUAGAGGUCUCAAGCGUUGUUCGGAUUCAUUGGGCGUAAAGGGUGCGUAGGCGGCGCGGUAAGUCGGGUGUGAAAUCUCGGAGCUUAACUCCGAAACUGCAUUCGAUACUGCCGUGCUUGAGGACUGGAGCGGAGACUGGAAUUUACGGUGUAGCGGUGAAAUGCGUAGAUAUCGUAAGGAAGACCAGUGGCGAAGGCGGGUCUCUGGACAGUUCCUGACGCUGAGGCACGAAGGUCAGGGGAGCAAACGGG
This 253-nucleotide ribosomal RNA is filed under the name uncultured bacterium. RNAcentral describes it as "partial 16S ribosomal RNA". It matches the Rfam family "Bacterial small subunit ribosomal RNA", at positions 524 to 776 of the family's 1533-position model. The record is from RNAcentral.